This 226-nucleotide long non-coding RNA is filed under the name Hordeum vulgare. Its description in RNAcentral is "long non-coding RNA (HVUL_LNC005904)". Lineage: Eukaryota; Viridiplantae; Streptophyta; Magnoliopsida; Poales; Poaceae. The record is from RNAcentral.
UUUAGGUGGCGUUUGGUUAUGUGGUUAUCCCUUAGUUGGCUAGGAUAGCCACUUUUUGGGUAGUUGUCGAGCGUUUGGUUGAGAGAUGGUUAGGAAUAUAGGCAAUUAAGAUUCUCAGAAUAUCCUCUUAAAACGUGGUUGAGCUUAUCCGUAAAAAUCUCACGGAUAGUGGCAGCCACCCACGCUCAGCGACCUCCCGAGGCAACGAAAUGUUUUUUUCUUCUCG